CGGUUCCUAAAAGCUACAAAGUGAUCCAGGAGUUUUGGUGUUUGAUGGGGAAUUCAUUCAUCUGUUGAGGGGGCAGGAGUUGGAGCAGUUUUGGAGGGACGCUGGCACGGAGUGGUCGGUGGCGUUUAGGAUGGGUGAUUUUGGGGAAGCUGCUGCCACAGUUUUCUGUGGAAAUGAGAAAUUCUGUGUGUAUCUGACCCAACAGAGCAUUUCCCCUCAGCUUGGAGUGUUUCCCUGCAGUUUUAGGAGGCUUCAGUCCCAGUGCUGAUGGAACAGAAGCGACACUUUAACACUUUGUUCUGCUUGUCCAGGAGGAUUUUUGGGCUUUUUUGAGCCCAUCAGAGCAGGGAGAGCCGACAGUGUCCUUCAGAGACCUCCCCAAGCCCAGCCUAGCUCUGAAUCAAAUCCGAACCUUCCCACUUGAGUAGCUGAAUGUCUUUUCAUGGAACUCUUGCUGUCAAACCAUGAAUAUUUGUGGGGUGCAGCCCGGCCUUGCCCGGUGCUGCUCCCCAGCGCCAGCCCCGACCGUGCCCAGCAUGCUCAGUGUGACUGCAAAGCACCCGUGUGCAAACGCUCUGUACAGUGGGGCCAGGGUUUUUUAUAUAUAUAUUUUGGGAUGGGGGGGGGGGGAGGAGGGUGGGUGAGGAGACUGGCAGCAUUUUCUGGUAUGCAAUGAAUAUUUUGUCUCGAGUAUCUGCAAUUCCCCUGGUGAGCUUUUGGAAGAAAAAAAAAACAAGUGAAAAAAAAAUUCAGGCUCUUUGCAGUUCCCCUCCUUGUCCUUUUUAAUUUUUAUUAUUAUUUUUUGUUUAAUUUCAAAAGCAGGAAGAAGGGGCAGCUGCAAACAGUCAUCGCUGUGGGGUUAGGAGCUCUUGACAACCCUGAGAUCUAGCAUGGUACUAGGAGUUAAGUCUGAAUGUAACAUUAAUGCUUUAUUUAAAAUUAAAAACAAAAACACUUUGGUUUUGGUUUUUUUUUUUUAAGGGGUUGAAGUGAACAUGACUGUUGACCAUGUUCGUGAAUUUCUAGAUGCAAACAUUCAUUGGUAGAAUUGUGUGAUGGUCUUUUGUGCUAAUUAAUUUGACAUAUUCCAAGUCUCUGUAUGUACCUGCAAAGAAAGAAAAACAAAAAAAAUAACAAAAACCCUGCUUUGCUUUGAUUGAAAAAGGGUUCCUGGGACUGCAUACCUGCUCCUGAGCUCUGUUUUAAGUAUGUGUAUCCUUCGCUUGUAUUUUGUAUUAAAAAAAAGAACCACGAGGAAAAAAAUGAACCCUUUAUUGUUCAGCAUGUUGGAAUUGUGUCCCCUCUUUUAUUUUUCUCCUUUUUGGAAUAUAUUAAGCAACUCAUUCUUCUGUAUCUUUUAUUUUCUUUUGUAAACUUUUUGGUUUUGUUUAAAAAUGGCUUUAUAAAAGGGCUUUUAUAACCCA
Molecule: long non-coding RNA, 1424 nt
Filed under: Taeniopygia guttata (zebra finch)
Lineage: Eukaryota; Metazoa; Chordata; Aves; Passeriformes; Estrildidae
Description: lncRNA (ENSTGUG00000019542.1)
Source: RNAcentral